This 578-nucleotide ribosomal RNA is filed under the name uncultured Cortinarius. Its description in RNAcentral is "eukaryotic LSU rRNA". The stretch from base 179 to 332 matches the Rfam family "5.8S ribosomal RNA". The record is from RNAcentral. Lineage: Eukaryota; Fungi; Basidiomycota; Agaricomycetes; Agaricales; Cortinariaceae.
AUCUCCACCUGUGCACCUAUUGUAGACCUGGAUAACUUUCUGAAUGCGCUAGCAUUUAGGUACGAGGAUUGGCUUUCUGCCUCUCCUUACAUUUUCAGGCCUAUGUUCUUUCAUAUAACCUCAAUGUAUGUCAUGGAAUGUAAUACUUAUGGGCUUCUGUGCCCUAUAAACCUUAUACAACUUUCAGCAACGGAUCUCUUGGCUCUCGCAUCGAUGAAGAACGCAGCGAAAUGCGAUAAGUAAUGUGAAUUGCAGAAUUCAGUGAAUCAUCGAAUCUUUGAACGCACCUUGCACUCCUUGGUAUUCCGAGGAGUAUGCCUGUUUGAGUGUCAUUAAUAUAUCAACCUCUCAAGCUUUUGCUUGUGGAGUGUAUGGAUGUGGGGGGAUUAUUUUGCUGGCCUUUUCAUGAGGUCGGCUCCCCUGAAAUGCAUUGGCAGAAUGGUUUGCUGACCGUUUAUUGGUGUGAUAACUAUCUACGCUGUUGACGUGAAGCAAGUUCAGCUUAUAAUGGUCCAUUGACUUGGACAACAUAUUUAUUAAUGUGACCUCAAAUCAGGUAGGACUACCCGCUGAACUUA